Molecule: ribosomal RNA, 472 nt
Filed under: uncultured bacterium
Lineage: Bacteria
Description: bacterial SSU rRNA
Rfam family: Bacterial small subunit ribosomal RNA
Source: RNAcentral
GACGAACGCUGGCGGCGUGCUUAACACAUGCAAGUCGAACGGUAGUUAGUUGGGAGCUUGCUCCCGGCUAAGUGAGUGGCGGACGGGUGAGUAACGCGUGAACAAUCUGUCUCAUACAGGGGGAUAACGCAUCGAAAGAUGUGCUAAUACCGCGUAGGACCACGGUAUCGCAUGGUACUGAGGUGAAAGGCGAAAGCCGGUAUGAGGUGAGUUCGCGUCUGAUUAGAUAGUUGGUGAGGUAACGGCCCACCAAGUCAACGAUCAGUAGCCGACCUGAGAGGUGAUCGGCCACAUUGGGACUGAGACACGGCCCAGACUCCUACGGGAGGCAGCAGUGGGGAAUAUUGGGCAAUGGGCGAAAGCCUGACCCAGCAACGCCGCGUGAAGGAAGAAGGUUUUCGGAUCGUAAACUUCUGUCCUAUGAGAAGAUAAUGACGGUAUCAUAGGAGGAAGCCCCGGCUAACUACGUGCC